Molecule: transfer RNA, 83 nt
Filed under: Canis lupus familiaris (dog)
Lineage: Eukaryota; Metazoa; Chordata; Mammalia; Carnivora; Canidae
Also listed under: 1 other name
Rfam family: tRNA
About the family: Transfer RNA (tRNA) molecules are approximately 80 nucleotides in length. Their secondary structure includes four short double-helical elements and three loops (D, anti-codon, and T loops).
Source: Rfam by way of RNAcentral
ACCUGAGUGGCUCAGUGGUUGAGCAUCUGCCUUUGGCUCAGGGCAUAGUCCCAGGGUCCUGGGAUCAAGUCCCACAUCAGGUU